This is a long non-coding RNA of Erinaceus europaeus (western European hedgehog), 887 nucleotides long. RefSeq lists it as uncharacterized. The transcript is spliced from 4 exons. NCBI's taxonomy places the organism in Eukaryota, Metazoa, Chordata, Mammalia, Eulipotyphla, Erinaceidae. The record is from RefSeq and is a predicted model, not a curated record.
GCUGGAGAUGGGCAGAACCAGGUUGGGGCCUGUGCUCUGGGGAAAGGAGAUGCUGCCCACCGCCCUCGGCUCCAGCCCCUGGAUCCGAGCCACAGUGUGACACGAGAUUUACUUAUUUAUUUACUAUGAUUUAUUUAAUACGAGCUGGAGAGUUUCACAUAACCGGGCAAGAAGUCAGAAGACCCAACUAAAGUUGGAACAAGCAAGCAAGCAAACACAAAAAAUGAAAUAUGCAUUUGCUAAUAAGAGCAAAUACAUUACCAAGUAGACAAGCCCAGAAGUGCCACCUACAGCCCUCCAUCUCCAUACACCCUCAAGGGCAGCACAUGAAGCUGUGGCGACAUGUGCAUUUCCUGUGCGUUGUGACAGAGAGAAGACUUCUGGAGAACUGAGGCAAGCUGGAUUAGUCAGGAGAGAGCACCCUAUCCAUGCAAAGCCAGAAGAAUUGGAGGCAAGAUUAAUCACUUCCAUAAGGACCAAGUCACAAACUGGAAGGAAUUAACUAGAAUCAAGAUGGCAACUGAAAUGCCCACUAGUGACCCUGAGCCUCUUUGGACUGUCAUCAUCAUAACAUCUCCAUAUUGGCUAGGAGGGUUCCGUCAUGCCCUUGAUAACACCACACCCUGAAAUCUACAGAUAUGGUCAGAAAAGACAGAGAGCCCAUAUUCCAGGAAAACUCCACUUUGUCUGGGAAACCCCCUCUCCUGUCCCAGCCCCUUAAUGAAUAGUAAUUACAGGCUGGGAAGGCAGCAUCAUGGUUCUGCAAAAGACUCUCAUGCCUGAGGUUCUGAGAUCUCAGGUUCAGUCUAUAUAGAAUGGGAGAGCUUUACAUGCCACACAUCCAACAAGAGACUAAUAGCCAGAAUAUGUAAAGAGCUUGCCAGACU